GAUUAGGCUCAGAACGAACGCUGGCGGCGCGUCUUAAGCAUGCAAGUCGAACGGCAAGAGGUAGCAAUACCUCCUAGAGUGGCGGACUGGUGAGUAACACGUGGGUGACAUACCCUUCAGAUGGGGAUAGCUAUUAGAAAUAGUAGAUAAUACCGAAUACGAGCACAGGGGUUAGAGAUCUGUGAGGAAAGGAGCUAAGGCUCCGCUGAAGGAAUGGCCUGCGGCCCAUUAGCUAGUUGGUGAGGUAAGAGCCCACCAAGGCGAUGAUGGGUAUCCGGCCUUAGAGGGUGAACGGACACAUUGGGACUGAGAUACGGCCCAGACUCCUACGGGAGGCAGCAGCUAAGAAUAUUCCGCAAUGGACGAAAGUCUGACGGAGCGACGCCGCGUGGAUGAAGAAGGCCGGAAGGUUGUAAAAUCCUUUUGAAACUGAAGAAUAAGCGUUGUAGGGAAUGACAGCGUGGUGACAGUAGGUUUUGAAUAAGCAACGGCUAAUUACGUGCCAGCCGCUGC
RNAcentral lists this ribosomal RNA (513 nucleotides) under uncultured bacterium. Its description in RNAcentral is "bacterial SSU rRNA". It matches the Rfam family "Bacterial small subunit ribosomal RNA", at positions 15 to 518 of the family's 1533-position model. The record is from RNAcentral.